AGCAGCCGCGGUAAUUCCAGCUCCAAUAGCGUAUAUUAAAGUUGUUGCAGUUAAAAAGCUCGUAGUUGAAUUUCGGGAUCAAUGCGUCGGUCGUGCCUUCGGUACGUACUAGCGUCAUUGAUUCCUCCCUUCUGAAGAACCGUGAUGUCAUUAAUUUGGUGUUACGGGGAAUCAGGACUGUUACCUUGAAAAAUUAGAGUGUUUAAAGCAGGCUAACGCUUGAAUACAUUAGCAUGGAAUAAUGAAAUAGGACGUUCGAACCUAUUUUGUUGGUUUCUAGGAUCGACGUAAUGAUUAAUAGGGAUAGUUGGGGGCAUUAGUAUUCAAUUGUCAGAGGUGAAAUUCUUGGAUUUAUUGAAGACUGACUACUGCGAAAGCAUUUGCCAAGGAUGUUUUCAUUAAUCAAGAACGAAAGUUAGGGGAUCGAAGACGAUCAGAUACCGUCGUAGUCUUAACCAUAAACUAUGCCGACUAGGGAUCGGAUGAUGUUAAUUUUAUAAUUGACUCAUUCGGCGUA
This 517-nucleotide ribosomal RNA is filed under the name uncultured Glomus. RNAcentral describes it as "SSU rRNA". It matches the Rfam family "Eukaryotic small subunit ribosomal RNA", at positions 569 to 1087 of the family's 1831-position model. The record is from RNAcentral. Lineage: Eukaryota; Fungi; Glomeromycota; Glomeromycetes; Glomerales; Glomeraceae.